CCUACGGGAGGCAGCAGUGGGGAAUAUUGCACAAUGGGCGAAAGCCUGAUGCAGCGACGCCGCGUGAGGGAUGACGGCCUUCGGGUUGUAAACCUCUUUCAGCAGGGAAGAAGCGAGAGUGACGGUACCUGCAGAAGAAGCGCCGGCUAACUACGUGCCAGCAGCCGCGGUAAUACGUAGGGCGCAAGCGUUGUCCGGAAUUAUUGGGCGUAAAGAGCUCGUAGGCGGCUUGUUGCGUCGGUUGUGAAAGCCCGGGGCUUAACCCCGGGUCUGCAGUCGAUACGGGCAGGCUAGAGUGUGGUAGGGGAGAUCGGAAUUCCUGGUGUAGCGGUGAAAUGCGCAGAUAUCAGGAGGAACACCGGUUGGCGAAGGCGGAUCUCUGGGCCAUUACUGACGCUGAGGAGCGAAAGCGUGGGGAGCGAACAGGAUUAGAUACCCUGGUAGUCCACGCCGUAAACGUUGGGAACUAGGUGUUGGCGACAUUCCACGUCGUCGGUGCCGCNGCUACGACAUUAACGUUACCCGUCCCGUCGGGAGGUACGGCCGCGACGACGUAAACGUUAAACGUAGUAAGUUAGUACGGUUCGUUGUAGACGUUGCCGAACGGCGACCGACGAGGGGAGGUUAGG
RNAcentral lists this ribosomal RNA (629 nucleotides) under uncultured bacterium. Its description in RNAcentral is "bacterial SSU rRNA". The stretch from base 1 to 527 matches the Rfam family "Bacterial small subunit ribosomal RNA", at positions 338 to 873 of the family's 1533-position model. The record is from RNAcentral.